UACCCCAUGGCAAGGUCCGAGCGGGGUGAUGGUGCUUGCACUAUCACUUAGCGGCGGACGGGUGAGUAAUGCUUAGGAAUCUGCCUAUUAGUGGGGGACAACAUCUCGAAAGGGAUGCUAAUACCGCAUACGUCCUACGGGAGAAAGCAGGGGAUCACUUGUGACCUUGCGCUAAUAGAUGAGCCUAAGUCGGAUUAGCUAGUUGGUGGGGUAAAGGCCUACCAAGGCGACGAUCUGUAGCGGGUCUGAGAGGAUGAUCCGCCACACUGGGACUGAGACACGGCCCAGACUCCUACGGGAGGCAGCAGUGGGGAAUAUUGGACAAUGGGGGGAACCCUGAUCCAGCCAUGCCGCGUGUGUGAAGAAGGCCUUAUGGUUGUAAAGCACUUUAAGCGAGGAGGAGGCUCUUUUGGUUAAUACCCAAGAUGAGUGGACGUUACUCGCAGAAUAAGCACCGGCUAACUCUGUGCCAGCAGCCGCGGUAAUACAGAGGGUGCAAGCGUUAAUCGGAUUUACUGGGCGUAAAGCGCGCGUAGGCGGCCAAUUAAGUCAAAUGUGAAAUCCCCGAGCUUAACUUGGGAAUUGCAUUCGAUACUGGUUGGCUAGAGUGUGGGAGAGGAUGGUAGAAUUCCAGGUGUAGCGGUGAAAUGCGUAGAGAUCUGGAGGAAUACCGAUGGCGAAGGCAGCCAUCUGGCCUAACACUGACGCUGAGGUGCGAAAGCAUGGGGAGCAAACAGGAUUAGAUACCCUGGUAGUCCAUGCCGUAAACGAUGUCUACUAGCCGUUGGGGCCUUUGAGGCUUUAGUGGCGCAGCUAACGCGAUAAGUAGACCGCCUGGGGAGUACGGUCGCAAGACUAAAACUCAAAUGAAUUGACGGGGGCCCGCACAAGCGGUGGAGCAUGUGGUUUAAUUCGAUGCAACGCGAAGAACCCUUACCUGGCCUUGACAUAGUAGAAACUUUCCAGAGAUGGAUUGGUGCCUUCGGGAAUCUACAUACAGGUGCUGCAUGGCUGUCGUCAGCUCGUGUCGUGAGAUGUUGGGGUUAAGUCGGA
This 1053-nucleotide ribosomal RNA is filed under the name Acinetobacter soli. Its description in RNAcentral is "bacterial SSU rRNA". It matches the Rfam family "Bacterial small subunit ribosomal RNA", at positions 49 to 1091 of the family's 1533-position model. The record is from RNAcentral. Lineage: Bacteria; Pseudomonadati; Pseudomonadota; Gammaproteobacteria; Moraxellales; Moraxellaceae.